CUCUGCGUGGCUUCUACCGUGAUAUAUAUAUCUGUCUCUCUGCCACAAUGCUAGCUGUCUUCUGUCGCCUAGCUCCGUAUGUACGGAUGUGUCAGGCGCCUGCUCCAUGCGUAACGGCCAUUAAUUCUCCUCUGAUACGUAUGAUUCUCCUCUGAUACGCAUGCGGAAGGACCUACCAGCGGGGCAUCUUGGUCAUUUUCCCCUUUUCGGGCUAGGUUGAAUGGUAGGGCUGAAGUUGGGCCUGGUGAGGGCCUGAUUACUGGGCCGAGAGGUUUGGGCCGGUUUGAUUGAGGAGUCUAGGCGGAGUCCGGCCCUAUGACUGAGCGGGC
This 329-nucleotide long non-coding RNA is filed under the name Manihot esculenta (cassava). RNAcentral's name for it is "long non-coding RNA (MESC_LNC001879)". Lineage: Eukaryota; Viridiplantae; Streptophyta; Magnoliopsida; Malpighiales; Euphorbiaceae. The record is from RNAcentral.